GGAGAGAUGGCCGAGUCGGCUGAAGGCGGUCGCCUGCUAAGCGAUUGUACGGGCAAAUACCUGUACCGAGGGUUCGAAUCCCUCUCUCUCCGCCA
Molecule: transfer RNA, 95 nt
Filed under: Bacillota bacterium
Lineage: Bacteria; Bacillati; Bacillota
Also listed under: 1 other name
Description: tRNA-Ser
Rfam family: tRNA
About the family: Transfer RNA (tRNA) molecules are approximately 80 nucleotides in length. Their secondary structure includes four short double-helical elements and three loops (D, anti-codon, and T loops).
Source: RNAcentral